Schistosoma mansoni is the source of this 46-nucleotide non-coding RNA. The record is from Rfam. NCBI's taxonomy places the organism in Eukaryota, Metazoa, Platyhelminthes, Trematoda, Strigeidida, Schistosomatidae.
GCACUGCUGAGGAGUCCCGUCCUAGGACGAAACGGCAGUCCAGUGC